GUGCACGCUGGCGGUCGGCCUAACACAUGCCAGUCGAACGGCAGCACAGUAAGAGCUUGCUCUUACGGGUGGCGAGUGGCGGACGGGUGAGGAAUACAUCGGAAUCUACUUUUUCGUGGGGGAUAACGUAGGGAAACUUACGCUAAUACCGCAUACGACCUACGGGUGAAAGCAGGGGAUCUUCGGACCUUGCGCGAUUGAAUGAGCCGAUGUCGGAUUAGCUAGUUGGCGGGGUAAAGGCCCACCAAGGCGACGAUCCGUAGCUGGUCUGAGAGGAUGAUCAGCCACACUGGAACUGAGACACGGUCCAGACUCCUACGGGAGGCAGCAGUGGGGAAUAUUGGACAAUGGGCGCAAGCCUGAUCCAGCCAUACCGCGUGGGUGAAGAAGGCCUUCGGGUUGUAAAGCCCUUUUGUUGGGAAAGAAAAGCAGCAGGUUAAUACCCCGCUGUUCUGACGGUACCCAAAGAAUAAGCACCGGCUAACUUCGU
Molecule: ribosomal RNA, 490 nt
Filed under: uncultured bacterium
Lineage: Bacteria
Description: partial 16S ribosomal RNA
Rfam family: Bacterial small subunit ribosomal RNA
Source: RNAcentral